RNAcentral lists this transfer RNA (65 nucleotides) under Ochthebius himalayae. Its description in RNAcentral is "tRNA-Ala". Lineage: Eukaryota; Metazoa; Arthropoda; Insecta; Coleoptera; Hydraenidae. The record is from RNAcentral.
AGGAUUAUAGUUAAUUAUAACAUUUAUUUUGCAUAUAAAAAGUAUUGAUUUUAUCAAUUUAUCUU